RNAcentral lists this ribosomal RNA (495 nucleotides) under uncultured bacterium. RNAcentral describes it as "partial 16S ribosomal RNA". It matches the Rfam family "Bacterial small subunit ribosomal RNA", at positions 28 to 507 of the family's 1533-position model. The record is from RNAcentral.
GACGAACGCUGGCGGCGUGCCUAAUACAUGCAAGUAGAACGCUGACGGAGGAGCUUGCUUCUCUGGAUGAGUUGCGAACGGGUGAGUAACGCGUAGGUAACCUGCCUGGUAGCGGGGGAUAACUAUUGGAAACGAUAGCUAAUACCGCAUAAGAGUAGAUGUUGCAUGACAUUUGCUUAAAAGUUGCAAUUUCCUCACUACCAGAUGGACCUGCGUUGUAUUAGCUAGUUGGGGGGGUAACGGCUCACCAAGGCGGCGAUACAUAGCCGACCUGAGGAGGAUAACCGGCACACUGGGAAUGGGAACAGGCCCAGGCUCCUAAGGGGAGGAGCAGGAGGGGAAUAUCGGCAAUGGACGGAAGGCUUGCUGAGCAACGCCGGGUGAGUGAAGGAGGGUUUCGGGUCGUAAAGCUCUGUUGUAAGAGAAGAAAGAGUGGGAGAGUGAAAAGUUCACACUGUGACGGUAUCUUACCAGAAAGCGACGGCUAACUACGUG